Molecule: ribosomal RNA, 253 nt
Filed under: uncultured bacterium
Lineage: Bacteria
Description: partial 16S ribosomal RNA
Rfam family: Bacterial small subunit ribosomal RNA
Source: RNAcentral
UACGUAGGGGGCAAGCGUUGUCCGGAUUUAUUGGGCGUAAAGAGCGUGUAGGCGGCCAUGUAGGUCCGUUGUGAAAACUCGAGGCUCAACCUCGAGACGCCGAUGGAAACCAUAUGGCUAGAGUCCGGAAGAGGAGAGUGGAAUUCCUGGUGUAGCGGUGAAAUGCGCAGAUAUCAGGAAGAACACCCGUGGCUAAGGCGGCUCUCUAGUACGGUACUGACGCUGAGACGCGAAAGCGUGGGGAGCGAACAGG